GAAAUGCGAUAAGUAAUGUGAAUUGCAGAAUUCAGUGAAUCAUCGAAUCUUUGAACGCACAUUGCGCCCGCCAGUAUUCUGGCGGGCAUGCCUGUCCGAGCGUCAUUUCAACCCUCGAACCCCUCCGGGGGAUCGGCGUUGGGGAUCGGGACCCCUCACCGGGUGCCGGCCCUGAAAUACAGUGGCGGUCUCGCCGCAGCCUCUCCUGCGCAGUAGUUUGCACAACUCGCACCGGGAGCGCGGCGCGUCCACGUCCGUAAAACACCCAACUUCUGAAAUGUUGACCUCGGAUCAGGUAGGAAUACCCGCUGAACUUAA
RNAcentral lists this unclassified non-coding RNA (318 nucleotides) under uncultured Ascomycota. RNAcentral describes it as "sequence contains ITS1". The stretch from base 1 to 105 matches the Rfam family "5.8S ribosomal RNA", at positions 50 to 154 of the family's 154-position model. The record is from RNAcentral. Lineage: Eukaryota; Fungi; Ascomycota.